GCACUGGUGGCCAGGCCAUGGGAGCCUUGAGACUCCCCCUCAGGCUCCGUGUCCCCUCCAACCCCUGCUGUGGGAGUGCAAUUGUGUUUCAACACUGUGACCACACAGAGACUUUCUAGUUUGUGGGCUGCUGUAGAUGGGCACGUGUGAACACGAUUGUACAGAGAUCCCUGAGUGUGUGUGCACACAGGCAUACACACCGUCUGUGUGCUUUUGCUCGGUGUGUGUAUGUUUUAAAUCUCCCCUGGGUGGUAACUCUCUUUUUUCUCCUCUUCCUGUUUGGCUGUGACCUGGGGGAGAUUGAUAGCCAGCCUGUGUGGUGGAUGCUAACAGUUCCCCUGAUUUAUAGAGUUACUUACGCUAAGUGAGGCCACUUAGACGCGUCUGGAUAGUAAACCUUUUAACUGGACUAAAAAAUCAUAAUAAAUAAAUAAACAAAGGGGGGUAAGCUAGGGCCCAGUGGCCAAGCCCUGCCCACUCCCCAGCUUAGAGCCCUUGAGGACCAGGGACCUGCCUGAGAACCCCAGGGGAGCAGUGGCCAUUCCUCCCUUCAGAAAAAACUCAGAGGCCCUUCUGUUCUGAGCUGGAGAUGGGAUCAGGAAGGACCCCCUCUCCCAGGGGGCCUCUCAGGGACAGGUCUUGGUAGGAAAUGAGGGAAGGGAACUGCUCAGCUGGAGAUGGGCUCUGAGGGAGAAAGCAUGGGCCUAGCAACCUUCCCUUCUGCUCUUGUGGCACCAGUGCUCCAUGUCAGGGAGAUGGUCUGGUAGUGACUUUUGAAUAUUGUUGCCUUGUCUGAACUGCAUAGUCCCUGAUGUAGGAACCAGGGUGACGUAGGACCCAGGACUGCCUGUCUUGCUCACAUCGUAGCCUCAGAAUUCAGCCCGAGCCUGGAUGGAAGUAGGUGCCCCAUGCGUGCCACUGAAUGGGGGCUUGUGGUCUGUGAGGUUCCAAUCCUC
This 956-nucleotide long non-coding RNA is filed under the name Marmota monax (woodchuck). Lineage: Eukaryota; Metazoa; Chordata; Mammalia; Rodentia; Sciuridae. The record is from RNAcentral.